GACGAACGCUGGCGGCGCGCUUAACACAUGCAAGUCGAACGGAAAGGCCUGCUUUCCCUUGUGGAUUGCGGGUACUCGAGUGGCGAACGGGUGAGUAACACGUGCGUGAUCUGCCCCCAACUUGGGUAUAAGCCUGGGAAACUGGGUCUUAUUACCGAUAGGACUGCAGGGUUGUGGCUGUGGUGGAAAACGAAUUUCUAGUGGGUGGGAGUGCGCUCGCGGCCUAUCAGCUUGUUGGUGGGGUAAUGGCCUCCCAAGGCGGCGACGGGUAGCCGGCCUGGGAGUGUGGACGCCCACAUUGGGACUGAGAUACGGCCCAGACUCCUACGGGAGGCAGCAGUGGGGAAUAGUGCACAAUGGGCGGAAGCCUGAUGCAGCGACGCCGCGUGGAGGAUGACGGGCUUCGGGUUGUAAGCUCCUUUCGACCACGAGGAAGCCACCUGGUUGGAAGGGUGGUGACGGUAGUUGUAGAAGAAGCACCGGCUAACUACGUG
This 494-nucleotide ribosomal RNA is filed under the name uncultured bacterium. Its description in RNAcentral is "partial 16S ribosomal RNA". It matches the Rfam family "Bacterial small subunit ribosomal RNA", at positions 28 to 507 of the family's 1533-position model. The record is from RNAcentral.